CGAUUUUUGAGAGUCAGUCCCUUUUAAAUAGUUAGCUUUGUAUAUGUAGUUGUAGGGUUUUCCUAUUCUCAUCUCGCUGCCAUACUAACAAAAUAUGUACAUUCAUACUGAACAACCGAAAUAUAAGCGGUACCGCGCUUCCUGAGUGAAUGUGCUCACGGAGGUGUGAAAUUGAGAUUGUUAUUGAGCUGUCUUUAGAGAG
Molecule: non-coding RNA, 202 nt
Organism: Caenorhabditis elegans
Lineage: Eukaryota; Metazoa; Nematoda; Chromadorea; Rhabditida; Rhabditidae
Source: Ensembl